GAUGAACGCUGGCGGCGUGCUUAACACAUGCAAGUCGAACGAAGCAUUUGCGACAGAUUUUUUCGGAAUGAAGUUGCUUAUGACUGAGUGGCGGACGGGUGAGUAACGCGUGGGUAACCUGCCUUGUACUGGGGGAUAGCAGCUGGAAACGGCUGGUAAUACCGCAUAAGCGCACAAUGUUGCAUGACAUGGUGUGAAAAACUCCGGUGGUAUAAGAUGGACCCGCGUCUGAUUAGCUAGUUGGUGAGAUAACAGCCCACCAAGGCGACGAUCAGUAGCCGACCUGAGAGGGUGACCGGCCACAUUGGGACUGAGACACGGCCCAGACUCCUACGGGAGGCAGCAGUGGGGAAUAUUGCACAAUGGAGGAAACUCUGAUGCAGCGACGCCGCGUGAGUGAAGAAGUAAUUCGUGAUGUAAAGCUCUAUCAGCAGGGAAGAUAGUGACGGUACCUGACUAAGAAGCGCCGGCUAAAUACGUG
RNAcentral lists this ribosomal RNA (481 nucleotides) under uncultured bacterium. RNAcentral's name for it is "partial 16S ribosomal RNA". It matches the Rfam family "Bacterial small subunit ribosomal RNA", at positions 28 to 507 of the family's 1533-position model. The record is from RNAcentral.